Molecule: ribosomal RNA, 253 nt
Filed under: uncultured bacterium
Lineage: Bacteria
Description: partial 16S ribosomal RNA
Rfam family: Bacterial small subunit ribosomal RNA
Source: RNAcentral
UACGUAGGGUGCAGGCGUUAAUCGGAAUUACUGGGCGUAAAGCGUGCGCAGGCGGUCUUUUAAGCCAGAUGUGAAAUCCCCGGGCUUAACCUGGGAACUGCGUUUGAAACUGGAAGGCUAGAGUGUGGCAGAGGGGGGUGGAAUUCCACGUGUAGCAGUGAAAUGCGUAGAGAUGUGGAGGAACACCGAUGGCGAAGGCAGCCCCCUGGGCUAACACUGACGCUCAUGCACGAAAGCGUGGGGAGCAAACAGG